This 222-nucleotide ribosomal RNA is filed under the name uncultured soil bacterium. RNAcentral describes it as "partial 16S ribosomal RNA". It matches the Rfam family "Bacterial small subunit ribosomal RNA", at positions 26 to 276 of the family's 1533-position model. The record is from RNAcentral.
AGAACGAACGCUGGCGGCAGGCCUAACACAUGCAAGUCGAACGCUCCAGCAAUGGAGAGUGGCAGACGGGUGAGUAACACGUGGGAACCUUCCCUAUGGUUCGGAAUAGCUCAGGGAAACUUGGGGUAAUACCGGAUAAGCCCUUCGGGGGAAAGAUUUAUCGCCAUUGGAUGGGCCCGCGUCGGAUUAGCUAGUUGGUGAGGUAACGGCUCACCAAGGUAC